UCCCGAGCGUUNUCCGGAUUUAUUGGGCGUAAAGCGAGCGCAGGCGGUUAGAUAAGUNUGAAGUUAAAGGCUGUGGCUUAACCAUAGUAUGCUUUGGAAACUGUUUAACUNGAGUGCAGAAGGGGAGAGUGGAAUUCCAUGUGUAGCGGUGAAAUGCGUAGAUAUAUGGAGGANCACCGGUGGCGAAAGCGGCUCUCUGGUCUGUAACUGACGCUGAGGCUCGAAAGCAUGGGGAGCAAACAGGAUUAGAUACCCUGGUAGUCCACGCCGUAAACGAUGAGUGCUAGGUGUUAGGCCCUUUCCGGGGCUUAGUGCCGCAGCUAACGCAUUAAGCACUCCGCCUGGGGAGUACGACCGCAAGGUUGAAACUCAAAGGAAUUGACGGGGGCCCGCACAAGCGGUGGAGCAUGUGGUUUAAUUCGAAGCAACGCGAAGAACCUUACCAGGUCUUGACAUCCCUCUGACCGCUCUAGAGAUAGAGUUUUCCUUCGGGACAGAGGUGACAGGUGGUGCAUGGUUGUCGUCAGCUCGUGUCGUGAGAUGUUGGGUUAAGUCCCGCAACGAGCGCAACCCCUAUUGUUAGUUGCCAUCAUUGAGUUGGGCACUCUAGCGAGACUGCCGGUAAUAAACCGGAGGAAGGUGGGGAUGACGUCAAAUCAUCAUGCCCCUUAUGACCUGGGCUACACACGUGCUACAAUGGCUGGUACAACGAGUCGCAAGCCGGUGACGGCAAGCUAAUCUCUGAAAGCCAGUCUCAGUUCGGAUUGUAGGCUGCAACUCGCCUACAUGAAGUCAGAAUCGCUAGUAAUCGCGGAUCAGCACGCCGCGGUGAAUACGUUCCCGGGCCUUGUACACACCGCCCGUCACACCACGAGAGUUUGUAACACCCGAAGUCGGUGAGGUAACCGUAAGGAGCCAGNCGC
This 923-nucleotide ribosomal RNA is filed under the name uncultured bacterium. RNAcentral's name for it is "bacterial SSU rRNA". It matches the Rfam family "Bacterial small subunit ribosomal RNA", at positions 532 to 1456 of the family's 1533-position model. The record is from RNAcentral.